AACGAACGCUGGCGGCAUGCCUAACACAUGCAAGUCGAACGAGACCUUCGGGUCUAGUGGCGCACGGGUGCGUAACGCGUGGGAACCUGCCCUUAGGUUCGGAAUAACUCCCCGAAAGGGGUGCUAAUACCGGAUAAUGUCUUCGGACCAAAGAUUUAUCGCCUUUGGAUGGGCCCGCGUUGGAUUAGCUAGUUGGUAGGGUAAAAGCCUACCAAGGCGACGAUCCAUAGCUGGUCUGAGAGGAUGAGCAGCCACACUGGGACUGAGACACGGCCCAGACUCCUACGGGAGGCAGCAGUGGGGAAUAUUGGACAAUGGGCGAAAGCCUGACCCAGCAAUGCCGCGUGAGUGAUGAAGGCCUUAGGGUUGUAAAGCUCUUUUACCCGGGAUGAUAAUGACAGUACCGGGAGAAUAAGCGCCGGCUAACUCCGUG
This 433-nucleotide ribosomal RNA is filed under the name uncultured bacterium. RNAcentral describes it as "partial 16S ribosomal RNA". It matches the Rfam family "Bacterial small subunit ribosomal RNA", at positions 29 to 507 of the family's 1533-position model. The record is from RNAcentral.